Monodelphis domestica (gray short-tailed opossum) is the source of this 297-nucleotide long non-coding RNA. RefSeq lists it as uncharacterized. The record is from RefSeq and is a predicted model, not a curated record. NCBI's taxonomy places the organism in Eukaryota, Metazoa, Chordata, Mammalia, Didelphimorphia, Didelphidae.
AAUUCCCAGGCAUCAAGAUCUGAUUUGUCGUGGUGUGUCACCUGGUGAAUACUGAAUUCCUCUUCUGUCUCAGGGGACCCAUGUACUAUGAAGAGCUUACAUUUUCCUGGGAGGAAAUGUUGAGAAAAUGAGAAAAAUGUCCGUAAACAGACAACCAAAUGCAAAGUAACUUCACAAAGGAGAGAGCACAGACAAUUGACAACAGAGUUGAGUUUUACCUGGAUCAACUUUGGUAACAUAUCUUAUUGUCACAGAGGGACUAUGUUUAAAAAAAUAAAUUGUUAUUGGUGUCUUUUC